Molecule: long non-coding RNA, 682 nt
Filed under: Zalophus californianus (California sea lion)
Lineage: Eukaryota; Metazoa; Chordata; Mammalia; Carnivora; Otariidae
Description: lncRNA (ENSZCAG00015000838.1)
Rfam family: SOX2 overlapping transcript exon 3 (bases 387-662)
Source: RNAcentral
GGAAGUCUUGUGAGAGAGGGACUAACAGGGAGUAUGUUUGUUUGUCUCCUUUGAGACCUACACUGAAUUUAUUGAAUAUUCUGGUCUUUUCCUCUCUAGCCACUACCUCCUUCGUUAGACCACAAGGUAUGUCCUUUUGGAAAAGUCAACUUCAUUGAUCUGCAAGGACUGUUGAAAAUUUAAAAAUUUGCUAUGGGAUUUCUGACAUGCCAGAAGCCACUAGAAAAAGAAUUUUGAUGUUCAGAACCUCAUGAAGAGGUUCCCCUCAUCUUUGGAUAGAGACCAAAAUGAUGCUUUCAAGUAAAUGAUGACAUCAGCAGGAACACAGAACUUGUUGGUUACAAGGUGGAACACUUGUGUGCCAUGAAGCCAAAAGGGGAUUGCAGUGGCAAAGCUAGGCUAGGUCUUGGAGGCUGGUGCAAGGCGAAGCGGGUGAAGGCAGGAGGCUGAUGGAGAGACUGGGGGGAAGAAAAGCCGAAAUGGAUUCACAGUGCCUUGGAUGGAGGACGAGAGGGGAAUUGCAAGCUCCUUCAACUCGUUCUGUCCGGUGAGAAGUGAUCAAGCUUGGGCUGACAAGAGGCUCAGGAAGCCCUCACGUUCUUUCGCUUUUUUACCUGCCAAUCAAACUGCUACAAGACAACACCCUGAUCUGGCAUGGACAUCGCGGGGUCCAAGCCUGUAG